This 2306-nucleotide unclassified non-coding RNA is filed under the name Portunus trituberculatus (swimming crab). RNAcentral's name for it is "dynein axonemal assembly factor 5-like, transcript variant X1". The record is from RNAcentral. Lineage: Eukaryota; Metazoa; Arthropoda; Malacostraca; Decapoda; Portunidae.
AGAAAGUACCGUGUUUAAUGUUUAUUUACAUUGACGCAACCAUGGCGACGGAGGACGCUCACUCCGCGCUGGUAACAGAACUAAACACCAUUUUGAGCGAUUUGCAGAACACCAACAAGGCCAAGAGAAGAAAGGCACUUGAGAGACUCCAUCACCUUGCAUUUGAGACUGAAGCUCACGAAAACCAGGAAGCACAGGGCAAAAUAUUGGACUUUUCACUGAAACAUCUCGUCACGUGUUUGGCGGAUCAGUCUGAGGUGAACAGGACAAAAUCAUCGGAAAUCCUCCUUACCUUUAGCCUGAAAGGAGUGGUGAAGCAAGGCCAGCUAGUGCACCUCAUCCCUUCCCUCCACCACAGACUGGCCACCCUGCCACAAGUGGAGGAAAGCGAGGAUGUCAGAUUGAUACAAGUUAACAUCAUUUCUAGCCUCACCACGCAGUUCCAAGGGGCGAUGGUGCCUUUUAUGAACGAUGUUGUGGGUGUGCUGAAGGAGGUGGUGCUGGACGUAAGCCCUGAAGUGCGCAAGGCGGCCGCGGAGUGUGUGAGCUGCUUCGCCAAGGCCACCAGAGAAAAGAUCCACAUGCAGUCAGAGUCCCUAGCAAAGCCGCUGGUCAAGGCGCUUCACCACCAGCGCUUCAGGAACAGAGUAGCGGCCAUCACUGCUCUAGGGGACCUGCUGUUGUAUGGUGAUGGCAAAGUCAUUGAGGAUGUGAGUGGUUCUCUCGCUCAGUGUGUCAUGGACCUUCCUCAGGUGCGUCUGGUCUUGGCGGAGGUUGGUGGCAGGCUGGCUCUCCACAUGCCUGACAGAUACUCCUACUGGCACCGCAUCCUGCCGCUGCUGCUCUUUGGCCUGAAGGAUGAGGACAAGGAUGUGAGGUGCAAGGCCACACAACUCUGGGAACAGGUUGGUCGCAAAUAUGAAGAAGAGAACAUGGAUCAGUUGAAGCAAGAAAUUGAUUUUGAUGUGCCCCCAUCAGACUACCCACCUGGAGAGGUUCGUCCAGGCAUUGGGUGUCGCAGUCUGGUGCAGCGCAGCCUCUAUCACAUACUUCCUGGUUUGCUGACUGACCUUGAUGACUGGCAGGCCAGCCCAAGACUGCAUGCUGCCAAGCUCCUUGCAGUGCUCAUCCUUAAUGCUGACUCUGGAGUGACUCAGUAUGCAGAGAAAGUGUUGACAGCACUCCACCUUGCUGCAGGUGACAAGGAGGCCAGCAUUGUUAAGCAGGUGAAUGAGUGUGGGCACUUCCUAGGGUGUUUCCUACCGCCCUCUGUUUUUCUGCCACUGGUGCUACCAAGGCUGGGCGCCGGCUACCAUGGGGAGCGGCCCCUCGUUGUCUUGGCAGCUCUGGUUGAGGGAAGCAGCACCGCCCUUCUCCAGCCUUGCCUUCCUGACCUCAUUUCAGCACUGGGAGAGGAGGAUGUGGCCUUGGUGUUUGGAGAGGCUCACCAGGAGGCUCUGCUGUGUGUCAUCAGAACUUUGCUAAACAAAUGUGAUUUCUCUGAGAACAGCUUCAAAAUGUUCUACCUAUUGCUCUUCAUUGCAUCUUCCUCUUCUGGUGAGAAUGCAACUGUAGCACAGGAGGGACUGAGAGAACUCUCCAGGAACUGUGGCCAUGAAGAAGUACAGGAACUUUAUCAGAAGCACACUCGAGAAGUUCUAGACAGGCUACUGGAAACAGUUGGGGGCUGGACUGAGGGCUCCCCAUCUUUCUUGCUGCUGGGAGGCCUCAUGAAACUAGCUGGUCCAGCUCUUGGUCAUGAGCUGGAGAUCCUCACCAAGAUACUGACAGCAUGCACAACCAAGGGGGAAGAUCCAUUUGUUUGCCUCCACUGCCUGACCCAGCUGAGACACCUCCUGCUUGAGGAGAGCCAGCCCCUUGCUGCUGGUGGCCAGCUGGAAGCAUGGCUGCCUGUCCUUGUCUCCAAAAGUAUGCGAGGGCACCUGGCGUGGCGUGCUGGGGCCACCGCAGAGACCCUCAGGACAGCAGCUGUAGCCUGCCUGGAGGCGGCAUGCAGAACGGGAUUGACUGCCCAGCCAAUGAUGGAAGAGGUGAAGGAGUGUACUGUGCUCCUGCCAGCACUGAUAGAGGAUGAUGCAGAGAUGACUCGGCUGUUUGCAUGCAGUGUGGUGCAGUGUGUGGCCACCACAUACACCUGUCUCAUUGAUACAAAAACUCUCCACACCUUGGCAGACAGAUCUGUGUAAGGAUGCUUUGAUCUUCCUGGAUGACCCUGAUGAGCAGCUCCAAGAGACAGUGUGUGAAUGGCUGGAAAGAAUGAAGGUUGUGUGUCCUGACAUACUCAU